RNAcentral lists this ribosomal RNA (525 nucleotides) under uncultured bacterium. RNAcentral's name for it is "bacterial SSU rRNA". It matches the Rfam family "Bacterial small subunit ribosomal RNA", at positions 984 to 1509 of the family's 1533-position model. The record is from RNAcentral.
ACAUCCAGCGAAUUCGGUAGAGAUACCUUAGUGCCUUCGGGAACGCUGAGACAGGUGCUGCAUGGCUGUCGUCAGCUCGUGUUGUGAAAUGUUGGGUUAAGUCCCGCAACGAGCGCAACCCUUAUCCUUUGUUGCCAGCGGUCCGGCCGGGAACUCAAAGGAGACUGCCAGUGAUAAACUGGAGGAAGGUGGGGAUGACGUCAAGUCAUCAUGGCCCUUACGAGUAGGGCUACACACGUGCUACAAUGGCGCAUACAAAGAGAAGCGACCUCGCGAGAGCAAGCGGACCUCAUAAAGUGCGUCGUAGUCCGGAUUGGAGUCUGCAACUCGACUCCAUGAAGUCGGAAUCGCUAGUAAUCGUAGAUCAGAAUGCUACGGUGAAUACGUUCCCGGGCCUUGUACACACCGCCCGUCACACCAUGGGAGUGGGUUGCAAAAGAAGUAGGUAGCUUAACCUUCGGGAGGGCGCUUACCACUUUGUGAUUCAUGACUGGGGUGAAGUCGUAACAAGGUAGGCGUAGCGAG